RNAcentral lists this ribosomal RNA (126 nucleotides) under Triticum aestivum (bread wheat). RNAcentral's name for it is "partial small subunit ribosomal RNA". Lineage: Eukaryota; Viridiplantae; Streptophyta; Magnoliopsida; Poales; Poaceae. The record is from RNAcentral.
AUACCCAUUGGUGUUCCAAAAGUACCUUACCGGAUUCCCGGAGAUGAAGAAGCGACUUGGGUUGACUUAUACAAUGUUAUGUAUCGAGAAAGGACACUUUUUUUUAGUUCACUGCCCUAUACAUAG